RNAcentral lists this long non-coding RNA (460 nucleotides) under Equus caballus (horse). RNAcentral describes it as "lncRNA (ENSECAG00000044767.1)". The record is from RNAcentral. Lineage: Eukaryota; Metazoa; Chordata; Mammalia; Perissodactyla; Equidae.
CAGAACAUGUGAGGUUGGAGGUCCUGCAUUGAUGAGGUCACAGCCAGAGCGGAUCCUGGGGCUGCCAGAACACCGUGUGGGGCCUGAGGUUGAAGCCCGCACAGAGGAGGGCAGAGGUAAAGGAUUUCGAGCCCCCGCCUCCUUGCAGCCAGGCAGGGCCAUAUACCACGUCUGGGUGGAGCUGUGAGCAGGAAGCUUCUUCAGUGAAGAGUGGGUUCUUCAGGAAGUGUUAUCAAUGGGAGGGCCUUGUGCCACCUCCUCUAUCCUGCUGGUUCUGACCCAGAUCAAUGAAUGGCUGGUGGCCCAGGAGCUCCCUCGAUGGUAAUGAGGACACCACCACAACCCAGGAGUGGGGGACGGACUCCAGGUCCCUGACGACCGGGCCGUGCAAUGUCCUUCCUGUGAGUUCAUUUCUGCUUCAGGGAGCCCGCGCCCACUCCUCGUGCGUCCCACCAGGGAG